GGAGGGUAUAGCUCAAGUGAUAGAGUGCUUGCUUGGAGUGCAGGAGGUCCUGGGUUCAAUCCCCAGUACCUCCU
Molecule: non-coding RNA, 74 nt
Organism: Camelus dromedarius (Arabian camel)
Lineage: Eukaryota; Metazoa; Chordata; Mammalia; Artiodactyla; Camelidae
Source: the annotation of a RefSeq genome assembly